GUAGUAUCUCCCAGAGUAAGUAGUCAAACUGUUUAAGAACAGUUUGACAACUUACCUGGGAUCUGCCGGGAUAGGGGCUGUAGAAGAGUAUACGGGCAGUAAUAUGUGUGAGUGGUGGAGUAUUUUGGUGUGUGUGUGUGUGUGUGAGGGGUUCAGUGUGAGUGAGGGGUACAAUUUGUGUGUAUGGAUGGGCAGUGUGUAUAUGGGGGGGCUGUGUGUGUGUAUGGGGAGGUAAUUGUGUGCAUGGGGGGGUAAUUGUGUGUAUGGUAGGGUCAGUGUGUGUGUACGGGAGAGCAGUUUGUGUGUAUGGGGAGUUAUAUUGUCUCUGUUGGCGUAGGAGGUCAAAU
Pelobates cultripes (western spadefoot toad) is the source of this 347-nucleotide non-coding RNA. Lineage: Eukaryota; Metazoa; Chordata; Amphibia; Anura; Pelobatidae. The record is from the annotation of a GenBank genome assembly.